This 1319-nucleotide long non-coding RNA is filed under the name Oryctolagus cuniculus (rabbit). RNAcentral describes it as "lncRNA (ENSOCUG00000035526.1)". The record is from RNAcentral. Lineage: Eukaryota; Metazoa; Chordata; Mammalia; Lagomorpha; Leporidae.
CAGGGAGAGAACCAGUGGACAGACAGGGGCCAGUUGUCUCUCAGGUCCCAGAAAUAAGACAGCAGGGUUGCAAUGUCAUCCUCCACACUAAUCAUCUCCAAAAAACUGAAAUGCGUGCUGAUUAAAAUCAUGAACUGUUGGAGAAAACAUGUAAGAACAAAUUCUCAAAAUUUGCUUUACUCAGGCAUAAAGACCAUAAAAUAAACAAAUAAAACUUGCAACAUUCAACACACAUAUAUGUGUAUUAUUCCAAGAUAAAUAUGCAUAUGCAAUAGGUGUUUGGUGAAUGGUGUUUUUCUAAACCCAGACUUAAAUGGUCAAAAAUUCUGAAGAGCAUUGUCCUAAGGAAAUGAGGAAAGAUAAACUGAACGCUUUGAGCAAAGAAGCAAUAGGAUCAAAACAGUGGUAUAUGGAGAUUGGUUCAGUAUCAAUGUGAAAACUUAUUUCAAGUACUUAGAAUGAUUCAAUCUUUACAAAUCUUACUCUUUAUACCAUACCUAGCUGCCCCAGGCUUUAUUGCUUCUAUUGCUGCAAAAUAAUGAUUCUGUAUUAAGUAAUUUUAGGAUCAUUUUAAAGGGUGAAUAAUUUGGAAUGUCAUUUCAUUAGAACAAGUAUCAAGUACUAAUUUUUUUUUCCUUUAAGCAGAAGUUAGAGAUCAGACUCUGAAAGCUCCAGAGGGUAAUCGGGCACUUGCUUGUGGAGUAAACAACCAAAAUACACGGUGGUCUUCAUUCCAGGAUGUUCAAAAGAACUGGUAUAAAUCCUGAACUGAGCUAACCAUGAACCUCAAUCCUGUAAGAGAUGGAGAGGCCAAGAGUAAGUUUUGGAGGAAGAUGGCCUGGAGAUGCAUGGUGUGCACCUGCUAACCCCAUGGAAAGUCAGUGGGUUCCCAAGGAAGAGAGAAACUGGAAGAGAAUAUGGCAUUGCUUAUGGCAAUUCUGGGGAUCAUUGCAGAAGCUCCUCAAUAGCACCUCAAGAAAAAGAGGCAGCAUUGAUCACCACCGAACCAGAAAGGACCUGCUGGCAAAAACAUUGGUCAAAGCCUCUGUUGAUGCCUGGCUUUGCUCAUGUACUUGUCUUUCUACCACCUCCACCUUCACAUCUUCCUGGAGUAUAAAUUUAAUCAAUCACUGUGUCGAUGAGUGAUGGAAGCAGAUAUUGCCAGAUGGAAGGAUAAAGGAGAAGCUGAUCCCACUCCACACUCCCCCUGGACUUGCCUACUCAGAAGAGCUCCUAAGAAAGGGUGAUGGAGUGAAGCUUCUAUUCGGUUCAAAGCUAUUUAAUUGAGAAAUAAAAAGUGUAUAUAUUCAAAAUGUACA